This 253-nucleotide ribosomal RNA is filed under the name uncultured bacterium. RNAcentral's name for it is "partial 16S ribosomal RNA". It matches the Rfam family "Bacterial small subunit ribosomal RNA", at positions 524 to 776 of the family's 1533-position model. The record is from RNAcentral.
GACGUAGGGCGCGAGCGUUGUCCGGAUUUAUUGGGCGUAAAGAGCUCGUAGGCGGCUUGUCGCGUCGAUCGUGAAAACUUGUGGCUCAACUACAAGCUGGCGGUCGAUACGGGCAGGCUGGAGUUCGGUAGGGGAGACUGGAAUUCCUGGUGUAGCGGUGAAAUGCGCAGAGAUCAUGAGGAAGACCAGUGGCGAAGGCGGGUCUCUGGACAGUUCCUGACGCUGAGGCACGAAGGUCAGGGGAGCAAACGGG